Brassica oleracea var. oleracea is the source of this 522-nucleotide long non-coding RNA. RefSeq lists it as uncharacterized. The transcript has 5 exons. The record is from RefSeq and is a predicted model, not a curated record. Lineage: Eukaryota; Viridiplantae; Streptophyta; Magnoliopsida; Brassicales; Brassicaceae.
UGAUAGAUUUCAAGCUCGCUUGAUUUCACAGAUAGUGAACGUUUAGUUGUUCUCUCUUCUCUGCUCUUUGUCUUUAGCUUGAUAGCUGAAUCUUGCUUUAAUCCAUGUGCAUCUUUCUCGCAGUGUUUCCACUGAAGUAAAGUCAAAGGUUGACGAGUUGAAGUCUAAACUUGAGAAAGAAAGACAGAACUUUGCCAAAGCACUAACAAAUAGUUCGAAGGAGACACCGGUUCCAUGUUUGAGGAGGACAAGGAGAGGCUCUAUAUGCGAUAUGAGCAACUAAGGAAGAAGGAGAAGACAAUGAUAUCUGAACAGGAGAGAUUCUGCACAUAAAAACUUUGCUCAACUGGAAGAGUCGCUGAAGAAAAAGAAACGGGACGACAAAACUUUCAGUAUAUUGAGGAAAACUCUCGGCUGUUUUCUGGAGAAUGAAGUUUCUGAUGAGGAGUUCCCACCUGAUGAGUAAAAUAUUAACUUUUCACUUGAAGCUUAAGAAAAAGGUUAAGAGCCCUUUAACUUUGA